UAAUACGUAGGGGGCAAGCGUUGUCCGGAUUUAUUGGGCGUAAAGAGCGUGUAGGCGGCCAGACAGGUCCGUUGUGAAAACUAGAGGCUUAACCUCUAGACGUCGAUGGAAACCGUCUGGCUAGAGUCCGGAAGAGGAGAAUGGAAUUCCUGGUGUAGCGGUGAAAUGCGCAGAUAUCAGGAAGAACACCCGUGGCUAAGGCGGUUCUCUAGUACGGUACUGACGCUGAGACGCGAAAGCGUGGGGAGCGAACAGGAUUAGA
Molecule: ribosomal RNA, 262 nt
Filed under: uncultured bacterium
Lineage: Bacteria
Description: partial 16S ribosomal RNA
Rfam family: Bacterial small subunit ribosomal RNA
Source: RNAcentral